Molecule: microRNA, 18 nt
Filed under: Prunus persica (peach)
Lineage: Eukaryota; Viridiplantae; Streptophyta; Magnoliopsida; Rosales; Rosaceae
Description: microRNA miRNA_475
Source: RNAcentral
CACGUGCUCCCCUUCUCC